Non-coding RNA from Pelobates cultripes (western spadefoot toad), 109 nucleotides. NCBI's taxonomy places the organism in Eukaryota, Metazoa, Chordata, Amphibia, Anura, Pelobatidae. The record is from the annotation of a GenBank genome assembly.
AGUGACAGAGUAGGGAGGGAGUGACUAGUGACAGAGAGAGGGAUGGGGUGACUAGUGACAGUCACCCCCCCUCACUCUGUCACUAGUCACCCCUUCCCUCCCUCACUUU